Molecule: ribosomal RNA, 510 nt
Filed under: uncultured bacterium
Lineage: Bacteria
Description: partial 16S ribosomal RNA
Rfam family: Bacterial small subunit ribosomal RNA
Source: RNAcentral
GACGAACGCUGGCGGCGUGCUUAACACAUGCAAGUCGAACGAAGAGCGAUGGAAGCUUGCUUCUAUCAAUCUUAGUGGCGAACGGGUGAGUAACGCGUAAUCAACCUGCCCUUCAGAGGGGGACAACAGUUGGAAACGACUGCUAAUACCGCAUACGAUCUAAUCUCGGCAUCGAGGAUAGAUGAAAGGUGGCCUCUACAUGUAAGCUAUCACUGAAGGAGGGGAUUGCGUCUGAUUAGCUAGUUGGAGAGGUAACGGCCCACCAAGGCGAUGAUCAGUAGCCGGUCUGAGAGGAUGAACGGCCACAUUGGGACUGAGACACGGCCCAGACUCCUACGGGAGGCAGCAGUGGGGAAUCUUCCGCAAUGGACGAAAGUCUGACGGAGCAACGCCGCGUGAGUGAUGACGGCCUUCGGGUUGUAAAGCUCUGUUAAUCGGGACGAAAGGCCUUCUUGCGAAUAGUGAGAAGGAUUGACGGUACCGGAAUAGAAAGCCACGGCUAACUACGUG